RNAcentral lists this ribosomal RNA (306 nucleotides) under uncultured Desulfobulbus sp. Its description in RNAcentral is "bacterial SSU rRNA". It matches the Rfam family "Bacterial small subunit ribosomal RNA", at positions 1077 to 1382 of the family's 1533-position model. The record is from RNAcentral. Lineage: Bacteria; Pseudomonadati; Thermodesulfobacteriota; Desulfobulbia; Desulfobulbales; Desulfobulbaceae.
GGGUUAAGUCCCGCAACGAGCGCAACCCUUGCCUUUAGUUGCCAGCAGUUCGGCUGGGCACUCUAAAGGGACUGCCGGUGUUAAACCGGAGGAAGGUGGGGAUGACGUCAAGUCCUCAUGGCCUUUAUGACCAGGGCUACACACGUACUACAAUGGCCGAUACAAAGGGCAGCGACGCUGCGAGGUGAAGCCAAUACCCGUAAAAUCGGUCUCAGUCCGGAUUGGAGUCUGCAACUCGACUCCAUGAAGUUGGAAUCGCUAGUAAUCGUGGAUCAGCAUGCCACGGUGAAUACGUUCCCGGGCCUU